This 462-nucleotide ribosomal RNA is filed under the name uncultured bacterium. Its description in RNAcentral is "bacterial SSU rRNA". It matches the Rfam family "Bacterial small subunit ribosomal RNA", at positions 33 to 507 of the family's 1533-position model. The record is from RNAcentral.
GACGCUGGCGGCGUGCUUAACACAUGCAAGUCGAACGGUGACGAAUGGAGCUUGCUCUGUUCUGAUCAGUGGCGAACGGUGAGUAACACGUGAGUACCUGCCCCUGACUCUGGAAUAACUUCGGGAAACCGAAGCUAAUACCGGAUAUGACACAGAGCCGCAUGGUUUCUGUGUGGAAAGUUUUCGGUUGGGAUGGACUCGCGGCCUAUCAGCUUGUUGGUGAGGUAAUGGCUCACCAAGGCGACGACGGGUAGCCGGCCUGAGAGGGCGACCGGCCACACUGGGACUGAGACACGGCCCAGACUCCUACGGGAGGCAGCAGUGGGGAAUAUUGCACAAUGGGCGAAAGCCUGAUGCAGCGACGCCGCGUGAGGGAUGAAGGCCUUCGGGUUGUAAACCUCUUUCAGUAGGGAAGAAGCGCAAGUGACGGUACCUACAGAAGAAGCACCGGCUAACUACGUG